GCCGUCUUAGCUCAGCGUGGUAGAGCAGUUGACUGUUAAUCAACUGGUCGCAGGUUCAAGUCCUGUAGACGGCG
RNAcentral lists this transfer RNA (74 nucleotides) under Nitrososphaerota archaeon. Its description in RNAcentral is "Thaumarchaeota archaeon (marine metagenome) tRNA-Asn". It matches the Rfam family "tRNA". From Rfam's summary of the family: Transfer RNA (tRNA) molecules are approximately 80 nucleotides in length. Their secondary structure includes four short double-helical elements and three loops (D, anti-codon, and T loops). Lineage: Archaea; Thermoproteati; Nitrososphaerota. RNAcentral also lists the same sequence under 1 other name. The record is from RNAcentral.